GGUUAUCUGGUCUGUGGUAUUUGCUUUAAUUAUGUUUUCUUUGAGUUGCAAUACUGUGGCAAACGUGUGAAGGUCAGGAGGCUAACAUAGUUUGGUUUUCUUGUUCACUUUCCUUCACAAUUUGAAGGUUAUGUGGUCUGUUACACUUGAUUUAAUAAAGUUUUCUUUGUUUUGCAAUUCUGUGGCAAACAUGUUAAGGUUAGAAAGCUAACUUUGUCUUUGUUUCAGCCAAGAUGCCUACAGCAGUGCCUACUUUUACCCUCAAAGUGAAGGAUAAGCCAACCAAAAUUCUUGUCACCAAACCUACCAUUGACGAUAUCAUCAACAGAGCCAUUGAGAGGCUUGAGGUUGAGCCAGGGGAGUUCAAGUUAGUUCUGGACAAUGGAGCAAUUUUGGAGGACGACGAAGUGCUGACACAUCUCCCUCCUUUGACUGAGCUAACUCUAGUUCCAAAGACUGGGGAAUGGAUGGACACCAAUGAAAACGUGAUUAAUGUUACUCCGAACAUUACCGUUGCUUCUCAACGCCAUUCAUCACCAUCAGUUUCCACUCCUCGUCUCUCAAAUGCUAGAGGCAAUUUUCCAUGGAGAGUACUUGAUGAUUUUAAGGAACAUCUCGAGUCAGGAUGCAUUGAUCUUCGUCAGAGAAAAUCAAUCCUUCACAACCUUGCUGCUCACAUGUCAGCUAGGAAUGAUUUCUCCAGAAAAACCUGUGUAUCAUUAACUAAUGAUCUUUUUGAGAAGUAUCCCAAACCAUUCGAGAUUAGAGAUGCUGAUGGUGACUUACUUAGUGAUGGCAAAGCAUCAUUCUUUAACAGCCUCUAUGAGCGAGUAAACUUCAUUAAGCCUCAAGCAAAGAAAAACAAAAGAAAAAGGAAUGAAGCUGAAGAUGAGGAUGAAGAUGAUCCGAAGUGGCCUCACAUAUGUAAUGACAAACUCGACUCUUAUGGAUGUGCUGCGUGGCAACCGCAUUUACCUGCUAAUGAAAAUGAAGCUACCCUAGAGAGACUGAGGACACAAUUGGCGGAUACUUCUUCUGAAACUGAACUUCUGGAGUUGCUGGAGAAGUCAUAUUGGCUCCAGCGCCACCAGAUUAAUUUCAGAAAAGGAGAUAUACACAGUGUGUUGUCAAAGUGGCCCGCCCUUCAAUCUCCUAAUCCUUUCCAGGCACACAGCACUAUGCUGUUGGGAAAGGAUGUAAGGACGCUGUGGGCUGGCUCCCACAAUCGGCUUUUAAGUCUUUAUAAUUUUUUAGCUGACUAUUGCACGUCUACAAAUCAAACUUCUAGCAAUCGGGAAACUUUAUCUGAAAUCAAAGUAGUGAGAGAGGAGGCCGAAGCGUCUUCAAGACUUAUGGAUAGCCGGAAACCAUUCUUGAUAGCAGCAUUUAUUAUGUUGGUCCAAUACUUAAAAGAAGAUUUAAAUUGCCUAUUUAAAUUGGUUGAUUGCGGAACCAAUGUUGAAGAAGUCAAACCCAUGGCUGAAGUGGACCGGCCGCUCCUCAUAAUCAGAGGACAGUCAUGGUUUGACUCCAAUUGUAUGUGCUUCAUUGCCUGUGAGGGGGACAUCAUAACUAGUACAAACAAUGCUCUAGAAGCCUUCAAGCUGCUAUUUUUAUCCUACUACAAUUUUAACUACCACUAUCCAGAAAAGGGAAGAAGGUUUCUAGAGUAUAUGCAAAGGGCCAUCUUUAAAAUAAAUCCUGUGCAAGGUACCAGGAAGGCACCAGGUGAUAAGCGAAGAGCGACUAAUAGCGUGGACCCAAUGGUUAAAAAGACCAUAGCUAAAGUUGAUAGUUUUUAUGUGAAAAUGAUGAACAUGACAAGGAUGCAUGUUAUGGAUGACAGUUAGUUUAGAGCACUAAUGAGUUUCUUUUAUUUUGCUUGUGAUUCCUUUUUUAACCUGACACAAAAUAUUGUGUAGAAUGUCUGCAAAGGGAUUCUUACCCAACCUGACUGAUCCAGGUUGUUAGAAUGCAUCCGUGCGUCCUAUUAAUGAUUUCUCCAAUAAUUUUUUAUUGUGCAAUAACUAUAUUUUAAAACGAGACUUGUUAUUGAGCAUCAACUUUUUAUUGAGUAGCAAUGUUCUAUUUUGCUUUGUGUGUGCUGGGUAUACGUUUGAAAUCAAAUUAUGCAACACAAAGGUUUUUUAUCUUCUCUUUAUUUAUUCUGUAUUGUUUACAGGACUUCCAAAGCUGUUAAAUCAUGUACAAAAUUAUUGAGAUCCCUUGAAAACCAAUUUUCAAUAAAACUGAAAUUUUAUCUACAAGUUUUUUUCUUUUCAUACAUUUUCUUCUGGAUGAUUCAGGACGACCCACACCUUCGCUAAUGGAAACAAAGGGCAUAACAAUCUACACAAACUUUUGAGUCAUAACUGCAGCGUGUGCAUAGGGGAAUGACCACAGGCAGAUGGGCUUUGGCCAACACUAUUCUAUGUGCAAAAGGCUACAUCAGCCUAGCAAAAUUUCCACAACUAUGUGAUAUUUACCCUAUACAUCUGUGUUGCACGAGCUCAACACUUGUCGAGCAAAAGUACCACACGCGUAUGGGAUUUACACCUCACAGUCGUACAGAAAAAAUCCCAUACGCGUGCAGCAGAUCUGCAAGACGGGGGUAGGAUUUUUCCCAUACGACUGUGUGGGAAAAGUCCCAUACGUGUGUAGCAGAUCUACCACACGCGUAUGGGAUUUUUCCCACACAGUCGUGUGGGGAAAAUCCCACA
Molecule: RNA transcript, 2720 nt
Organism: Frankliniella occidentalis (western flower thrips)
Lineage: Eukaryota; Metazoa; Arthropoda; Insecta; Thysanoptera; Thripidae
Exons: 9
Source: RefSeq, a predicted model, not a curated record